GCAUUUCAUAAGUGGAAACAGAAUCAUGAAGGUGGUUUUCCCAGGGCAAGGCUUAUCGAGCUGUGCUGACCCCUGCAAUUUCCCCCAAAUGUGGGAAACUUGCUGCAUAAUUUGUGGUAGUAUGGGACUGCAUUUGCACAUUCCCCUG
This 148-nucleotide small nuclear RNA is filed under the name Otolemur garnettii (small-eared galago). Its description in RNAcentral is "U1 spliceosomal RNA (ENSOGAG00000028098.1)". It matches the Rfam family "U1 spliceosomal RNA". From Rfam's summary of the family: U1 is a small nuclear RNA (snRNA) component of the spliceosome (involved in pre-mRNA splicing). Its 5' end forms complementary base pairs with the 5' splice junction, thus defining the 5' donor site of an intron. The record is from RNAcentral. Lineage: Eukaryota; Metazoa; Chordata; Mammalia; Primates; Galagidae.